GAUGAACGCUGACAGAAUGCUUAACACAUGCAAGUCAACUUGAACUUCGGUUUGGGUGGCGGACGGGUGAGUAACGCGUAAAGAACUUGCCUCACAGUUAGGGACAACAUUUGGAAACGAAUGCUAAUACCUGAUAUUAUGAUUUUAGGGCAUCCUAGAAUUAUGAAAGCUAUAUGCGCUGUGAGAGAGCUUUGCGUCCCAUUAGCUAGUUGGAGAGGUAACGGCUCACCAAGGCGAUGAUGGGUAGCCGGCCUGAGAGGGUGAACGGCCACAAGGGGACUGGGACACGGCCCUUACUCCUACGGGAGGCAGCAGUGGGGAAUAUUGGACAAUGGACCAAGAGUCUGAUCCAGCAAUUCUGUGUGCACGAUGAAGUUUUUCGGAAUGUAAAGUGCUUUCAGUUGGGAAGAAAAAAAUGACGGUACCAACAGAAGAAGUGACGGCUAAAUACGUG
This 454-nucleotide ribosomal RNA is filed under the name uncultured bacterium. RNAcentral describes it as "partial 16S ribosomal RNA". It matches the Rfam family "Bacterial small subunit ribosomal RNA", at positions 28 to 507 of the family's 1533-position model. The record is from RNAcentral.